This is a non-coding RNA of Melospiza georgiana, 521 nucleotides long. The record is from the annotation of a RefSeq genome assembly. NCBI's taxonomy places the organism in Eukaryota, Metazoa, Chordata, Aves, Passeriformes, Passerellidae.
AUGGUUCCCUGCUGUUUCUGUGUGGCCAUGCUGGCCCCUCUGGUUUUAGCCCUGGAACAGUCUCCAGACAUGGUGAUCAAAGAAGGCCAGUCCGUGAAUCUGGAAUGCUCUGAGAAAAAAUCCUCCAGCCCAGCUAUGUACUGGUUCAUGCUGCCUUCAGAGAAGAAUUCCAGUCUGACUCUACUGGCAUCUGCACUACAGGGUGGUAAUGCAGUGGUGGAGAAGGGUUUUGAGAGCCAUUUCAAGAGCAGCAAGAUAAAAGGAGACAGUAUCACCCUCUCAAUAGAACAUGCCUUUCUCAAUGACUCUGGCACAUACUACUGUGCUGAGGGACAGGCUGGGGGCAGACCUGCUGGUGAGCAGCUCUUCAGAGAAGGACCUGGGGGUCCUGGUGGACAAGAAGCUCCCCAUGAGCCAGCAAUGUGUCCUGGUGGCCAAGAAGCCAGAGGUGUCCUGGGAUGAGCGUUAGGAAGGGCAUUGCCAGCAGGGCAAGGGAGGUGGAUCCAGGUUCUUCACUGUGA